UCCUUUAUCUAAUCAGUGAAACUAAUCUCCCCGUGAAGAAGCGAGGAUAACACUAUAAGACGAGAAGACCCCAUGGAGCUUUAAACCCAAUUAUAUUCCCAAUCCCUACAACCAUUUAAUCCUUUGGGUCCUAUAUACUUGGUUUUAGGUUGGGGCGACCACGGAGUAAAACUAAACCUCCAUGAUGUACGGAACAACCUCCUUAUCUAAGAGCCACAGCUCUAAGAAUUAGCACACUAUCAUAAAAUGACCCAUUAUUGAUCAACGAACCAAGUUACCCUGGGGAUAACAGCGCAAUCCAUUUUAAGAGCCCCUAUCGACAAAUGGGUUUACGACCUCGAUGUUGGAUCAGGAUAUCCCAGUGGUGCAGCAACUACUAAAGGUUCGUUUGUUCAACGAUCAAAAUCCUACGUGAUCUG
Molecule: ribosomal RNA, 419 nt
Filed under: Mantidactylus femoralis
Lineage: Eukaryota; Metazoa; Chordata; Amphibia; Anura; Mantellidae
Description: partial 16S ribosomal RNA
Rfam family: Bacterial large subunit ribosomal RNA
Source: RNAcentral